ACCUGGUUGAUCCUGCCAGUAGUGUAUGCUCAUCCUGAAGAUUAAGCCAUGCAUGUCUAUGAUUAGAUGCUAUUGAACAAUUCGAAUCUGCGAACGGCUCCACAUAUCAGUUGCGACAUAACGACCCGCUCCAUGCCCCGUAGGGACCAGCAAUGGCCUCGAAAGGGAUCUACAUGGAUAACCCCGGUAAUUCUGAGGCUAAUACAUGACACGAAAGCCGACCCAGCAAUGGGCCGUGCUCAAGAGCAAUAACGUCACGGCGGUUUUGCUAAUCUACUAUAGAUACGAAUACACCCUUGAGUCGACCGUCAUAAAAAAGCGCUGCUGGGAUCGAGGCUUUUCUGCUUCACGGCGGAGGGUCGAGUGAACGGCAUGCGUGGCGGCCGGGUUGAGUGGCUCCUGACCUAUCAUACUAGAAGCUGGGGUAAUGUCCCAGCUUGGUCGCAACGGGUACAGAGGAUUAGGGUUCGAUCCUGGAGAGUGGGCCUGAGAAAUUGCUCAUACUUCUAAGGAAGGCAGCAGGCGCGCAACGUUCCCAAUGGGCAAUAGCCCGAGGGCGUGAAAGGAAAUACUAAUAUCGGCCUAAAAAGGUUGGUAAUUAGAAUGAGGCUAAUUUAAAUCCAUUACUCGAGUAACAAUUAGAGGACAAGUCUGGUGCCAGCACCCGCGGUAAUUCCAGCUCUAAUAGCGUACGUUAAAGUUGUUGCAGUUAAAACGCUCGUAGUCGGAACCAGGUCUCGGAGUGCCUAAGCGGAGCCUGACGCUGUGCCGAGUCGCAAGACGAGGUGCGGUUGGGCCUUUGCUGGGAUUUUUCUUCGAGUGCCAAACAGGCCGGGUAGGGAGCCUUGUGGGAGGGCGGGCAACCGUGAGUACUGCAGGACACGGUGUGUGAGCGCGUUGGUUUAAAACCCAGUGUCGUUGUGACGCCAUCCGCCUGAGCCAUUUUACCAUGAACAAAAUAGAGUGAACAAGGCAGGCCAUUGAGGUCCCUGAAUAUCACAGCAUGGGAUAGCGGACUAACAGGGGUAUCCCCCCAGUCUUGUCAGCUAUUUGACAGAGAAACCGCCUACUGGCGGGGGAAAUCAAUAGGUCAAUAGGGGUGGGAGGGGGUGGCCGAAUUCCUUGGCGAGAGGUGAAAUUCGUUGACCCUAGGAAGUCGAACUAAAGCGAAAGCAGCCGCCAAUUCCACUCCCGUUGAUCAAGAGCGAAAGUUAAGGGUUCGAAGAUGAUCAGAUACCAUCGUAGUCUUAACUAUAAAUGACACUGACUAGGGAUAGGGUAACGUCCACUAUAUCUCGACUCUCUCUGGACCUUAGCGAAAGUAUUAAGUCUAUGAGUUCCGGGGGGAGUAUGGUCGCAAGGCUGAAACUUAAAGGAAUUGACGGAAGAGCACACCAGGAGUGGAGCCUGCGGCUUAAUUUGACUCAACACGGGGAACCUCACCAGGUCCGGAUACUAGCAUGAAAGACAAGCUGAUAGACUUUUCUCAAUUAAGUAAGUGGUGGUGCAUGGCCGUUCGUAGUUCGUGAAGCGAUUCGUCUGGUCUAUUCCGAUAACGAGCGAGACCCCAACCGUCCUAAAUAGGGCCUCUCGCCUUUUAACGUGCUCUCGUUAGCCUUGGUGGUUGCCAUCGCAAGGUGGUGGCUGUUUUGGUGAAGCGGGGCGCCUGUGCGGGAGGUCAAAUAAAAUUAAAUUUAUUCUUCUUAGGGGUAUCAUGGCUGAUAAAGCCUUUGAAAUGGGUUAAUAACAGGUCAGUAAUGCCCUUAGAUGUUCUGGGCCGCACGCGCGCGACAAUGGAUGAAAUGAACGAGCAUAGUGCGGUAUUAGCCCGCAAGGGCGUGCCGUGCAUUUCCGUGCCUUAUGGUGCGGGAAAUCAGUAGUUUUUUAUCCUUGACUGGGCUAGACUCUUGCAAUUGUUGGUCUUCAACGAGGAAUUUCUAGUAGGCGCGGGUCAUCAACCCGUGCCGAUUACGUCCCUGCUCUUUGUACACACCGCCCGUCGCUGCUACCGAUUGAGUGUUCUGGUUAAGCCUUCGG
Molecule: ribosomal RNA, 2037 nt
Filed under: Echinosteliopsis oligospora
Lineage: Eukaryota; Evosea; Eumycetozoa; Echinosteliopsidaceae
Description: SSU rRNA
Rfam family: Eukaryotic small subunit ribosomal RNA
Source: RNAcentral